AGCGAACGCUGGCGGCAGGCCUAACACAUGCAAGUCGAACGAACCUUUCGGGGUUAGUGGCGGACGGGUGAGUAACACGUGGGAACGUGCCUUUAGGUUCGGAAUAACUCAGGGAAACUUGUGCUAAUACCGAAUGUGCCCUUCGGGGGAAAGAUUUAUCGCCUUUAGAGCGGCCCGCGUCUGAUUAGCUAGUUGGUUGAGGUAAUGGCUCACCAAGGCGACGAUCAGUAGCUGGUCUGAGAGGAUGAUCAGCCACAUUGGGACUGAGACACGGCCCAAACUCCUACGGGAGGCAGCAGGGGGGAAUCUUGCGCAAGGGGCGAAAGCCUGACGCAGCCAUGCCGCGUGAAUGAUGAAGGUCUUAGGAUUGUAAAAUUCUUUCACCGGGGACGAUAAUGACGGUACCCGGAGAAGAAGCCCCGGCUAACUUCGUG
RNAcentral lists this ribosomal RNA (434 nucleotides) under uncultured bacterium. RNAcentral's name for it is "partial 16S ribosomal RNA". It matches the Rfam family "Bacterial small subunit ribosomal RNA", at positions 29 to 507 of the family's 1533-position model. The record is from RNAcentral.